Molecule: small nuclear RNA, 107 nt
Organism: Octodon degus (degu)
Lineage: Eukaryota; Metazoa; Chordata; Mammalia; Rodentia; Octodontidae
Source: Ensembl
GUGCUUGCUUCAGCCGCACAUAUACUAAAAUUGGAACGAUACAGAGAAGAUUAGCCUGGUCCCUGUGCAAGCAUGACAUGCAAAUUCACGAAGUGUCCCACAUUUUU